GCAGACAUCGGUGGCAACAGAGAGAGUUCAGGUGUAAACUGAAUUGAACGCUGGCGGGAUGCUUUACACAUGCAAGUCGAACUGGCAGCACGGACUUCGGUCUGGUGGCGAGUGGCGAACGGAGAUAAUGUAUCGGAACGUGCCUAAAUAGCAGGGGAUAACUACAUGGCAGCCAGCUAAUACCGCAUACGCCCUUCGGGGGAAGCGGGGGACCUUCGGGCCUCGCACUAUUAGACUUGGCCGAUAUCGGAUUAGCUAGUUGGUGGGAUAACGGCUCACCAAGGCGACGAUCCGUAGCUGGUUUGAAGGACGACCAGCCGCACUGGGACUGAGACACGGCCCAGACUCCUACGGGAGGCAGCAGUGGGGAGCACAGAUAAUGCGGGGAAACCUGAUCAGCCAUCCCGCGUACGAUGAAGACCUUGGUUGUUAAGCCGCCUGGCGGAAAGAGCGCUGGAUGUCACCGUGCGUGGCUGAGUACCUGCAGAAUGUACCGGCUAACUACGUGCCAGCAGCCGCGGUAAUACGUAGGGUGCAAGCGUUAAUCGGAAUUACUGGGCGUAAAAGCGUGCGCGGGCGGUUCGGAAAGAAAGAUGUGAAAUCCCCAGGCUUAACUUUGGGCUGCAUUUUUAACUACCGAGCUAGAAGUGUGUCAGAGAGGUGGAAUUCCGCGUGUAACAGUGAAAUGCGUAGAUAUGCGGAGGAACACCGAUGGCGAGGCAGCUCUGGGAUAACACUGACGCUCAUGCACGCGAAAACGUGGGGAGCAAACAGGAUUAGAUACCUGGUAGUCCACGCCCUAAACGAUAGUCAACUAGCUAUUUGGGGCCUUCGGGCCUUAGUAGCGCUGGCCUAACGCAGCGGAUUGACCGCCUGGGAAAGUCUGGUCGCAAGAUUAAAACUCAAAGGAAUUGACGGGGACCCGCACAAGCGGUGGAUGAUGGAUUAAUUCGAUGGCGGCAAAGCCUUACCUACGCGGGCAUGGAAUCGAAGAGAUUUGGGUGCUCGCAAGAAGAGCCGGAACUGGUGCUGCAUGGCUGUCGUCAGCUCGUGUCGUGAGAUGUUGGGUUAAGUCCCGCAACAGGCGCAACCCUUGUCAUUAGUUGCUACGAAAGGGCACUCUAAUGAGACUGCCGGUGACAAACCGGAGGAAGGUGGGGAUGACGUCAAGUCCUCAUGGCCCUUAUGGUGGGGCUUCGCGUCCUUCUGUGUUCGGGGACAGAGGGUCGCCAACCCGCGAGGGUAAUCCCAGAAACCCGAUCGUAGUCCGGAUCGCAGUCUGCAACUCGACUGCGUGAAGUCGGAAUCGCUAGUAAUCGCAGAUCAGCAUGUCGCGAGUGAAUACGUUCCCGGGUCUUGUACACACCGCCCGUCACACCAUGGGAAUGGGUUUUGCACCAGAAGUAGUUAGCCUAACCGUAAGGAGGGCGAUUACCGCAGUAGGAUUCAUGACUGGGGUGAAGUCGUAACAAGGUAA
RNAcentral lists this ribosomal RNA (1477 nucleotides) under uncultured Bordetella sp. Its description in RNAcentral is "partial 16S-23S ribosomal RNA intergenic spacer". It matches the Rfam family "Bacterial small subunit ribosomal RNA". The record is from RNAcentral. Lineage: Bacteria; Pseudomonadati; Pseudomonadota; Betaproteobacteria; Burkholderiales; Alcaligenaceae.